UUCUAAUUUCCCUGUACUCCAACAUGGGAAUCGAACUCUGGUUAAUGCCCGAAUCUCUCAGGAGGCAUCGUCCUCACAAACUCCGAAUAUUAAUCUUGAUGAUAUUCCUGAAACUCAUCCUUUAUUCCAGCAGAUUAAGUCCUAUUUAUCUGAUCAGAAAAAGGCUGCAGAUUCCUUUGCAUCAAUCAUUACUGAAAAUGAAGAUAAACCUUCAUAUGAGAAACUCGAAGCAAGGGAACUCAUUAUUUAUCUGGAAAAUCAGCAUAUCCCCUCACAAGAAAACUCCGAAGAAGCAUGGAGAAUCUUAAAAAAUUAUUUAACCGCUAAUGUUUAUAUGGCAGGAGAAUCCUACAAAACACGGACUUAUUUUGAGCAAAUUUUAAUUCACACCGCCAGUGCAACUUUUGAGCACAGCCCUCUUGGUGAAUCCACCCCUGGAGUACAUGGCUACUCCAAAAUAGUCAUCAAAAAGCUCAUCCCUAUUGAAGAAUGGGGAAUUUCCUCUAUGACGCAACGAAGUCUUCCCAUGGGUCCGCAAGGACAAACUAUUGCCAACUUCACCUACUGGGAUUACAUUAAAGCUUUUACCUCUGUGUUAUACUACAAUAAUUACAAACAUAAACACACUUGGUUCAUCAAAAUCUGUCCCAAAGUCUUUGAGAAACCUAUUCCAAAUUGGUUUAUUCGUUGGUGGACAAAUCACGGCCCAUCGGUAAAAAUUUUGCCAACAGAAUAUACUUCCUUAUAUAACUCAUGGAAAAAAUCCUCUCCAUUUCUGACCGAAUUAUAUCUCUCUGACCAUAUCUGCAAAUUAGACACUAUCGAUCAAAUGUACUUUUAUAUCGAAUUCUCUAUUCCCUGGAUACAUCGUUGGUCGAUUGAAAUUGGUUACGAUUCACAACAGAUCCCAGCUAUUUAUCGGACUUUUUAUUGUAAUUUCUGGGAUAAACUGCUCAGAAUAGACCCCGACACCAAACUUCCCUAUGGACAUGACCAAAAGAAAGAAAUCAAGGAAAAAAUCUCCGCAUAUGAAAGAACACCCAAAAAAUCUAUUUUAAUUGAAGAUAAAUCACUCAAUUAUGUCUCUCGGAGAAUCUCUGCUCAUGAUGGAAAUAAGCUCCAACUCAUUGAAGAAUAUCUGGCCGAAGUCCAAGACAAAUUACUUCAUACAGUCGAACAGACUUCAGACACAUCUAUGAAUAGCACGGAGCGAAACACUAAUGAUAUCACGGAUUCCCAGCCACCAGAAACCCUGAAUGCAGACGAAGUAUUAGCCAACGCAGAAGAAUUUCUACGAUGGGGCCACAAAAAAUAAAUCUGAAUAUGUAAUAAUUAUUGCUAAUACUGUUUCAAAAUACUGUGGUAAAACACUGUGUCAAAAUACUGUGGAAAAACACUGUGCACAGGUCCCACAUAUUACUGUGCAAGAUUCCUU
This 1435-nucleotide long non-coding RNA is filed under the name Capsicum annuum. RNAcentral describes it as "long non-coding RNA (CANN_LNC004190)". The record is from RNAcentral. Lineage: Eukaryota; Viridiplantae; Streptophyta; Magnoliopsida; Solanales; Solanaceae.